AGAUACUCAUGCUUCUCAAACAUCAAUAUGGAUAAAACAAGGACUGUCAAGAAGACUGCAACUGUAUAUGUACAACUUAAUGGGGAUGGGAGUUGGUCUUCACAUAUAGGAAUGUUGAUAAUAUUAAUGAGAUUAUUAAGAAAAACACAAAGUCAACAACUAUCCUAGAUUCCAUAAUAUUAGGAAGCUGGCUCAACUAUACUUAAUAUUCUGGUAAUACUCAAGAAAGUGACAUGGCAAUUCAACAAUGCAUAUACAACAGAAAGAGAUAUUUCCAUACCAAGACAAUUCUUACUGAAUUAGUAUUUAGCUGAUAUUUCAUUUUUUACAGUAUUUAAAGUUAUAUACAGUGCUGUUUUAAGUUAAAAUAUAACAAAGUUACUUGGUUCAAAAACUGGUCUUUGUUUUUCCUUCUCUGUACUAUGCAAGGGUAGAGAAAAGAGGUGGUAAUAUGCAUCCUCACAUGCGGCUGUAGGAACUCUCACUCAUAUGGAAAACGAAUUGGAUCAUUCCAGAAAAGAUCCAUACUCCCCCCACGGAGGAAAUUUCUGCCGUCCGGAGGGGGAGGGGAGAAAAAAU
Molecule: long non-coding RNA, 579 nt
Filed under: Paramuricea clavata
Lineage: Eukaryota; Metazoa; Cnidaria; Anthozoa; Malacalcyonacea; Plexauridae
Source: RNAcentral